UGAGGAAUAUUGCACAAUGGGCGAAAGCCUGAUGCAGCGACGCCGCGUGGGUGAUGAAGGUUUUCGGAUCGUAAAACCCUUUUCUGUGUGACGAGGAAGGACGGUAGCACAGGAAUAAGUGUCGGCUAACUACGUGCCAGCAGCCGCGGUAAUACGUAGGACGCAAGCGUUAUCCGGAAUUAUUGGGCGUAAAGCGUCCGCAGGUGGUUGUUCAAGUCUGCUGUUAAAGCGUGCGGCUUAACCGCAUAU
Molecule: ribosomal RNA, 249 nt
Filed under: uncultured organism
Description: partial 16S ribosomal RNA
Rfam family: Bacterial small subunit ribosomal RNA
Source: RNAcentral